This 533-nucleotide ribosomal RNA is filed under the name Bridgeoporus nobilissimus. RNAcentral's name for it is "eukaryotic LSU rRNA". The stretch from base 199 to 352 matches the Rfam family "5.8S ribosomal RNA". The record is from RNAcentral. Lineage: Eukaryota; Fungi; Basidiomycota; Agaricomycetes; Hymenochaetales.
AUGUGCUCGUUGCCCUUGACCUCUACCCAUCCAACUCCAACCCCCCAAUCUGUGCACUUUGCUGUGAGGUGUGUCCACCCGUUUCGGCGGGCGUUUCCCUCGGACCAGGAGUACCGAGGGAUGAGACGUCAGCACCUCGCAGAACCUCAUCGCAAACGCCUUAACAAGUCAAGUAGAAUGUAUAAAGUUAACAAGUACAACUUUCAACAACGGAUCUCUUGGCUCUCGCAUCGAUGAAGAACGCAGCGAAAUGCGAUAAGUAAUGUGAAUUGCAGAAUUCAGUGAAUCAUCGAAUCUUUGAACGCACCUUGCGCUCCUUGGYAUUCCGAGGAGCAUGCCUGUUUGAGUGUCAUGAAAUCAUCAACCCAGAGUGCUUUGUGUGCUUCUGUGGAUUGGACUUUUGGGGGCUUGCCGGCCGUGAGGUCGACUCUCCUUGAAUGCAUUAGCCAGACCGUCUGGGGGAAUCACGGCGUGAUAAGCUUUGCGCCGUUUGCCUCUCCUUGACCGCCCGCUUCUAAUCGUCUUCGGACAAC